AACGAACGCUGGCGGCAUGCCUAACACAUGCAAGUCGAACGAGACCUUCGGGUCUAGUGGCGCACGGGUGCGUAACGCGUGGGAACCUGCCCUUAGGUUCGGAAUAACUCCCCGAAAGGGGUGCUAAUACCGGUUAAUGUCUUCGGACCAAAGAUUUAUUGCCUUUGGAUGGGCCCGCGUUGGAUUAGCUAGUUGGUAGGGUAAAAGCCUACCAAGGCGACGAUCCAUAGCUGGUCUGAGAGGAUGAUCAGCCACACUGGGACUGAGACACGGACCAGACUCCUACGGGGGGCAGCAGUGGGGAAUAUUGGACGAUGGGCGAAAGCCUGAUCCAGCAAUGCCGCGUGAGUGAUGAAGGCCUUAGGGUUGUAAAGCUCUUUUACCCGGGAUGAUAAUGACAGUAACGGGAGAAUAAGCUCCGGCUAACUCCGUG
This 433-nucleotide ribosomal RNA is filed under the name uncultured bacterium. RNAcentral describes it as "partial 16S ribosomal RNA". It matches the Rfam family "Bacterial small subunit ribosomal RNA", at positions 29 to 507 of the family's 1533-position model. The record is from RNAcentral.